This 494-nucleotide ribosomal RNA is filed under the name uncultured bacterium. RNAcentral describes it as "partial 16S ribosomal RNA". It matches the Rfam family "Bacterial small subunit ribosomal RNA", at positions 28 to 507 of the family's 1533-position model. The record is from RNAcentral.
GACGAACGCUGGCGGCGUGCUUAACACAUGCAAGUCGAACGGUGAAGCGCCUUCCUUUUUGGUGGGUGUGGAUGAGUGGCGAACGGGUGAGUAACACGUGAGUAACCUGCCCUCUUCUUCUGGAUAACCGCAUGAAAGCUUGGCCAAUACGGGAUAUUCUGGGUCUGUCGCAUGAUGGGUCUGGGAAAGAUAUUGUUUCGGUGGGGGAUGGGCUCGCGGCCUGUCAGCUUGUUGGUGGGGUGAUGGCCUAGCAAGGCGGGGACGGGUAGCCGGGCUGGGAGGGUGGCCGGUCACACUGGGACUGAGGCACGGCCCGGACUCCGACGGGGGGCAGCAGUGGGGAAUAUUGCACAGUGGGCACAAGCCUGAUGCGGCGGCGCCGCGUGAGGGAUGGAGGCCUGCGGGUUGUGAACGUCUUUCGCCAGUGAAGCAGGCCUGCCUCGUAUGUGGGUGGGUUGACGGUAGCUGGAUAAGAAGCGCCGGCUAACUACGUG